Molecule: ribosomal RNA, 446 nt
Filed under: uncultured bacterium
Lineage: Bacteria
Description: bacterial SSU rRNA
Rfam family: Bacterial small subunit ribosomal RNA
Source: RNAcentral
UUCCUACGGGGGGCAGCAGUGAGGAAUAUUGCACAAUGGGCGAAAGCCUGAUGCAGCAACGCCGCGUGAGGGACGAAGGCCUUCGGGUCGUAAACCUCUUUUCUGGGGAAAGAGCAAGGACGGUACCUCAGGAAUAAGUCUCGGCUAACUACGUGCCAGCAGCCGCGGUAAAACGUAGGAGGCGAGCGUUAUCCGGAUUUACUGGGCGUAAAGCGCGCGCAGGUGGUUUCGUUAGUCGGACAUGAAAGCUCCUGGCUUAACUGGGAGAGGCUGUUCGAUACUGCGGGACUUGAGGUUGGGAGAGGGGUGUGGAAUUCCCGGUGUAGUGGUGGAAUGCGUAGAUAUCGGGAGGAACACCUGUGGCGAAAGCGGCACCCUGGCCCACACCUGACACUGAGGUGCGAAAGCGUGGGGAGCAAACAGGAUUAGAUACCCUUGUAGUCUGA